RNAcentral lists this ribosomal RNA (253 nucleotides) under uncultured bacterium. RNAcentral describes it as "partial 16S ribosomal RNA". It matches the Rfam family "Bacterial small subunit ribosomal RNA", at positions 524 to 776 of the family's 1533-position model. The record is from RNAcentral.
UACGGGGGGGGCAAGCGUUGUUCGGAAUUACUGGGCGUAAAGGGCUCGUAGGUGGCCAACUAAGUCAUACGUGAAAUCCCUCGGCUCAACCGAGGAACUGCGUCUGAUACUGGUUGGCUUGAAUUCGGGAGAGGGAUGCGGAAUUCCUGGUGUAGCGGUGAAAUGCGCAGAUAUCAGGAGGAACACCGGUGGCGAAGGCGGAUCUCUGGGCCUGUCCUGACGCUGAGGCGCGAAAGCUAGGGGAGCGAACAGG